Callorhinchus milii (elephant shark) is the source of this 126-nucleotide small nuclear RNA. RefSeq annotates it as U4 spliceosomal RNA. The record is from RefSeq and is a predicted model, not a curated record. The transcript has a single exon. Lineage: Eukaryota; Metazoa; Chordata; Chondrichthyes; Chimaeriformes; Callorhinchidae.
ACUUUUGCGCAGUGGCUGUAUCGUAGCCAAUGAGGUCUCACCGAGGCCGAUUAUUGCUUAUCAUUAAUAUUAUUAUUAAUAUUAUUAUUAAAAGUUUCUACUUAUUGCUGUAUAUGUAUAAAUGCA